This 5247-nucleotide long non-coding RNA is filed under the name Sus scrofa (pig). Its description in RNAcentral is "lncRNA (ENSSSCG00000052189.1)". Lineage: Eukaryota; Metazoa; Chordata; Mammalia; Artiodactyla; Suidae. The record is from RNAcentral.
AAUCUCCAUAUGCCGCAAGCACAGUCCUAAAAAGCAAAAACAAAAACUAAACUAAAUAUUACAUUUUUUUUCUUCUGUUAUUCCACAAGAAUAUUGGAUUAAAAUCUGAGUUAUUGUUAAAAUGUAUUCUGAGACUAUAAAAUCAGACAAUUUAUAAUUGCAACAUAUAAUCUAGUUCACACAUAUGAGGAUAAAAUUAGUAAGUAUAUCAAUGAGACUUUGUCAUUUAACUUAAAUAACCACUAAUAUUAUUGCUUUCCUAAAGUUAGAAAACUCAUUUGGAAAAUAAAAAUCAAAGUAUUUUAAUUUGUAACACAAAAAUUAAUAGUUUUUAAAUAAAUUAAUCUGUUGUUGGUGAAAAGUAUUGGUAAAUAAUGCUCAGACAGUUGGUACAUUGGGGAACAAGGGCAGGAUUAAUCAUUAAAAUAAGCAAGAAUUGACCUACUUAGCUAUUAUCUGUGGGAUACAUUUCAUCUCCAUGUUGAUUUUUCCUUUCGUUAAACAAGGGACUAUCUAGUCAAGCAUCUGUUCUUUUAUUCUGGACUUUAGUCUUCAUAGAACAUAUCAUGUUAGUGCUCUCCAGUCUUCAGGUAAAUUAUAUCAAUUAUAACUUAGAUUGCAUCUAGGAGCUGAUUUACUAGACAUGAAAUUGUUUGGAAAUUCUGAAGAAUAUUUUUCCAUCUAGAAAAUCUGGUAGUAACUUCAUUUCCUUAUUAAAUUUGAGAGUUUCUUGGCCGGGGGUGUAUGUGUGUACUAGAUUCUUUUUUAGUUCAAUUUUUUUAUUGUUAUUAUUUUUUUUUUUUUGUCUUUUUGCUAUUUCUUUGGGCCGCUCCCGCGGCAUAUGGAGGUUCCCAGGCUAGGGGUCGAAUCGGAGCUGUAGCCGAAGCCCUACGCCAGAGCCACAGCAACGCGGGAUCCGAACCGUGUCUGCAACCUACACCACAGCUCACAGCAACGCCGGAUCCUUAACCCACUGAGCAAGGCCAGGGACCGAACCCGCAACCUCAUGGUUCCUAGUCGGAUUCGUUAACCACUGAGCCACAACAGGAACUCCCUCAAUUUUUAUUUAAAUAUUCUCAAUCAAGAAAAAUUAGAAAUUUAAACAAGGAGAAAAUCAUCCAUAAGUCCACUACUCAAAAAAAAUUUUGGAGUUCCCGUCGUGGCUCAGCAGUUAACGAACUAUCAUCCACGAGGACAUGGGUUUGAUCCCUGGCCUUGCUCAGAGGGUUGAGGAUCCGGCAUUGCCGUGAGCUGUGGUGUAUGUCACAGACGAGGCUCAGAUCCUGUGUUGCUGUGGCUCUGGUGUAGGCCAGUGGCUAAAGCUCCAAUUGGACCCUUAGCCUGGGAACUUCCAUAUGCCACAGGUACGGCCCUAGAAAGACAAAAAAGAAAGAAAGGAAGGAAGGAAGGAAGGAAGGAAAAAGGAAGGAAGGAAGGAAGUAGGUUAAUAUUUUAAGCCUAUAGAUUCAGAAUUUUCUACAAAGAAAAUUAUUUAACCAAAAAGCAGGUGGUGGUUGAUAUAUCCUUAUUUUCUAUUUUAUAUUAUGUUUGUAUUUUCAAUCGAUCUACAUAUAUUUGCACUAUCACUUGUAAAAUCUGCACCACAUUCCAUUUUAUAACUUAUUUAGCCAAUCCCUAUUACUAGCCAUUUACUUUGCUUUUGAUUUUGCAUCAUUGUGAGAGAUGCAAUAAUGUCUAUUUCACCCAAUCUUUGUUAAAUUUAAGAUAAAUUUCUAAUUAUAGAAUUACUGAGCCAGAGUUAACAUCCACUUUUAGGGCUUCAGAUUAAUACUGCUAAAUCCUUUUCUUGAAAAGACUGUAUCAUCUUACUCAUGAAUAAUUUAUUUGAAUAUCUGUUUUCUUGCAUAUUCACCAUCACUGGAUAUCAUUAAAACAUAAAAUAAAACUCUGCUUUAAUUUUUCUGUUUAAGCAUGAUAUCUUAUUGGCUUUUGUUUGUAUUUAUUUUGCUCUCAUAUUAAUUUUUAAAAUUUCUUUAUUGACCAUUAGUUAUUUUUCUUUGCUUACUUCUUAAUGCUGCAUUCUAUACAUUCUGUAUAUUUUCCAUCUUUACUACUUUAUUUUUGCUUUAUUUUUCUGUGUUAAUGUUAUUAACCAUUUGUUUGUUCCAAAUGAAGAAACUAUCUUUUGCAAACAGCUGUUAGAAAUAGCCUUUUAGUAGGAGGAUGGAUUUUGGGAUUCAACAAACUUGUAUUUUAAAUCUGAAUUCUUAUCAUUUACGUGCUAUGUGACUUUGGAUGAGCUACUCUGCCUUGACAAGACUUGAUUAUAGUAUGUAUAAAAUGGAGAUGAGAUAUUAUCUCACAACAGUCAGAAUGGCCAUCAUCAAGAAGUCUACAGCAAAUGAUAGAGUGGGUGUAGAGAUAAGGGAACCCUCCCUAAACUGUUGAUGGAAAUAUAAAUUGGUACAGUCACCAUGGGUAAAGGGUGUGGUGGUUCUUUAAAAAGCAAUCCCCCUUCUGGGCAUAUAUCCAGAAAAAAACAUAAUUCAAAAAGAUACAUGCACCCCAGUGUUCAUUGCAGCACUAUUUAUAAUAGCCAAGACAUGGAGACAGCCUACAUGUCCAUCAACAGAUGAAUGUAUAAAGAAGUUAUGGUCCAUAUAUACAAUAGUCUAUUACUCAGCCAUAAAAAAGAACAAAAUAAUGCCAUCUGCAGCCACAUGGAUGGACCUAGAGAUUAUCAUACUAAGAGAAAUAAGUCAGACAGAGAAAGACAAAUAUCAUGAUAUCACUUAUAUGUGGAAUCUAAUAAAGAUGAUACAAACAAACUUAUUUAUAAAACAGCAGCAAAUUCAUAGAUUUUGAAAUCAAACUUAGGGUUACCAAAGGGAAACCAUAGUGGGGAGGAAUACAUUGGAAGGAUAGAAUUAAUGUACAUAAACUACUAUAUAUAAAACAGAUAACUAAUAAAAAACUACUAUAUAGCACAGGGAGGUCUACUAAAUGUUCUGUAAUAACCUACAUGGGAAAAGAAUGGAUAUGUGUCUAACUGAUUCACUUUGUUGUAAAUCUGAAGCUAAUACAACACUGUAAAUCAACAAUACCCCCAAUAAAAUAAAAUUAAAAAAAAACUCUCAACAAGUUGGAUAUAGAGGGAACACACAUCAACAGUUUAAAGCCAUAUAUAUAUAAUUCCACAACAAACACCAUAUUCAAGGAUAAAAAGUUGAAAGCAUUUCCUCUAUGGUCAGGAAUGACAAAAGAAUGUUCAUUCUUUCCACUUUCAUUCAAAAUAGUAUUAGAAGUCCUAGACAGAGCAAGCAGAUGAUAAAAAGAAAUAAAAGUAAUCCAAAUUGGAAAGGAAAAAGUAAAACUGUCAUUGUUUGCAGGUGACAUGGUAUUACAUAGAGAAAACCCUUAAGAAGCCACUAACAAACUUCUAGAGCUAAUCAUUGAAUCUGGUAAAGUUGUAGUUUACAAAAUUAAUAUACAUAAAUCUGUUAUAUUUCUUUAAACUACUAAUGAAAUGUCAGAAAAAGAAAUCAGUAAACCAGUCUCAUUAUAAUCAUGUCAAAAACAGUAAAAUAUCUAGGAAUAAUUUUAAUCCAUGAUGUGAAAGACCUGUACUCUGAAUACCAUGAGACACUCAUGAAGAAAAUUGAAAACAAUAUAAAUAAAUGGAAAUAUAUAGCACGUUAGAAAAUUAUAAGAGUAUUGUUAAAAUGUCCAUGGUACCCAAAGUAAUCUAGACUUAAUGCAAUUCAUAUCCAAAUACCCAUGACAUUUUUCACACAACUAAAAUAAUCCUAAAAUUUGUAUGGAGCCACAAAACACCAAAUAGUUAAAGCAAUCUUGAGAGCAAAGAAUGAAGCUAGAGUAUCCUUCCCUGACCUCAGACUAUACUGCAAAAAUACAGUAAUCAAAACACCAUGGUGUUGGCACAAAAAAAGGACACACACAACAGAAUAGAAUAGAGAGCCCAGAAAUUAACUCAUGUAUAUACGGCCAAUUAAUAAGCUAUCUUAGAAUCUUAAGGGGGAAAAAAAAGGCAUAUUGAAUUACAUAUGGACAGGACCAAUCCCAGUCCCAGUAAGGGAUAGAAAGUUAUACUGAUGGAAGUGCAGGCACAUUCAUUCAACAUGGACCUGAGAAGGCAGAGGAAGCAGUCAUUUCCUGGUUUAGUAGUGAGGCUCCACCAUCAGUGGCCCUGGCUUUACAUUCUAAAAAUAAGAUUUUCAAGACCUAUUCCGAUCAUCUAACUGGAAGAGGUCAAAAUAACUGCUCAGAUAUUGAAGCAGUGAAUGAGUGUACAUGGGCUCCUAAGUUGACAAAUACCACCUUUCUGAAUGUAAAUACCACCAGAAACAGGAUCUUUUGCCCACGCCCCCACUUGAGGACCAAGCAUGAUCUCUUUCUAUACCAUAUGCAUCUUUAUUUCACUGUUUAAUUUGUCUUUGGGGUAAAGGAUUUGCAAAUCAAGACAAUUUCAAUAUGCAAAUAUCUUCAGUUUUCCAGUAAAGAAGGCUUUAAUUUCCAUUGAAUCAUUUUUCUCUAUAGCUCACUUUCCUUCAUCUUCCAUUGGCUGGAUUCUUAUUAAAUAGCUGGAUUCUUAUUAAGUGCCCUGAAUUGUCCCCAAAUAUACUAGGUAGUUGGGCUCUAGAGAUGGUAUCUUCACCCUCUGGUUAUAGAACUUUCCAUCAGUCAGCCAUAAAUUUAUGCAGAGGAAUAAUGAAGGGUCUAUCAUACAUCUGACAAUUUGAGAAGUAAUCCCAUUUUCACUAAUCUCUCAGACUUGAGCUUAGUCAAGGUCUUCUCACUGCUGUCUCCUAAGCUCAUUAGCCUCAGCAGUGACUUGUGACUGUCCUAACUUUUUAUCUACUGUGCUUUAGCCUGAAGGUGUGAUCCUUUCUACAAACCAUGAAUCUUACUUAUCUUUAAAUGUUGUAGAUUUCAGUGUUAGCUACUCCUGAUAGGAUUUGCAGCUACUUCUCAAUGUAGUGGGGAAAAAAUGAGAAUAUUCUUGUUUAGCACCAGACGCAAUCAUCCUUGUCCAAAUUCAGUAUGUUUCAUGUUUCCUCUUGGCAAGAUAUCCAUUUCCUAUUUAUAGAUGUAAACAUUAAGUAUAAAGAAUUUCUAGGAGUAAUGGAUUCUAUUCUACAGUCUUCCAUUGAUAUAAAUGUCUUAUUACACGUCAUUAUUGAAGACGAUUCUAUGUGCUUUGCAGUAUUUACCAUGUAAAUCCAUGAAAAUUCAAGUCAGACUUCUUUGUGCUACUCAUCUGUUUGG